This 914-nucleotide ribosomal RNA is filed under the name uncultured archaeon. RNAcentral's name for it is "bacterial SSU rRNA". It matches the Rfam family "Archaeal small subunit ribosomal RNA", at positions 1 to 921 of the family's 1478-position model. The record is from RNAcentral.
UUCCGGUUGAUCCCGCCGGAGGCUACCGCUAUUGGAGUUCGAUUAAGCCAUGCGAGUCGCGAGUCUUAGGGACUCGGCGUACCGCUCAGUAACACGUGGGUAACCUGCCCUAUGCUGGGGGAUAACCUCGGGAAACUGAGAAUAAUACCCCAUAGUUCACCACGCCUGGAACGGUGGGUGGAUCAAAGCUCCGGCGGCAUAGGAUGGGCCUGCGGCGUAUCAGGUUGUAGGGGGUGUAAUGUACCCUCUAGCCCUCUACGCGUACGGGUGUUGAGAGACAUCGCCCGGAGAUGGAUUCUGAGACACGAAUCCAGACCCUACGGGGUGCAGCAGGCGCGAAAACUUGGCAAUGCGAGAAAUCGUGACCAGGGAACUCCAAGUGCAUCGGGUAAGACCGAUGCUUUUCUUGACUCUUCAAAGGUCUUGGAAUAAGGGGUGGGUAAGGACGGUGCCAGCCGCCGCGGUAAUACCGGCGCCCCAAGUGGUAGUCGCUUUUAUUGGGCCUAAAACGUCCGUAGCCUGUCUGGUACAUUCGUGGGUAAAUCAACCAGCUCAACUGGUUGAAUUCUGCGAGCACGGCCAGACUUGGGACCGGGAGAGGUGUGGGGUACUCUCAGGGUAGGGGUAAAAUCCUGUCAUCCUGAGAGGACCACCUGUUGCGAAGGCGCCACACUAGAACGGAUCCGACGGUCAGGGACGAAGCCUAGGGGCACGAACCGGAUUAGAUACCCGGGUAGUCCUAGGUGUAAACGCUGUGGACUUGAUGUUGGGAGCGCUCCGAGCGCCCUCAGUGUCGAAGCGAAGGUGAUAAGUCCACUGCCUGGGGAGUACGGUCGCAAGGCUGAAACUUAAAGGAAUUGGCGGGGGAGCACCGCAACCUGAGGAUUGUGCGGUUUAAUUGGAUUCAACGCCGG